This 957-nucleotide long non-coding RNA is filed under the name Malus domestica (apple). Its description in RNAcentral is "long non-coding RNA (MDOM_LNC003373)". Lineage: Eukaryota; Viridiplantae; Streptophyta; Magnoliopsida; Rosales; Rosaceae. The record is from RNAcentral.
UAACCAUCUCACAAUUUUGCAGGCAUUUUAUCUGCAAAUUAACAUGUUAUAAGUGUGCAAAUAGCUCAUGUUCUUUGCUUUGAUGGCGGAAUGUCGAUAUGCCAAACAUAUAUAAAGUGCUUCCUGCUCUCUCUUGGGCUAAAUCACCCUGUUCAUUACAAUUCACAAUUUAGGUACAACUGCCAUGAGCCAAAAUGUGUAAGAAAAUUAAGAUAAACUAAUCAUACUUAACAUCGGUUGAAUCGCUUAAUAAUGAAAGUGAAAAAACAAAGCAUAAAUCAAAAGAUAUGUGACGAUACAUAUAACAACAAAACAUGUAAACAUUAAUCUCUAACUUCUUUAAUUGCGAGUGUAAUCUGUUAAUCUUUAUCAUACGAACUCAUCUUUCUAUUACUAUUAUACUCUAAAAUCUACUCAAUAAAAAGUUGAUUGGUUGAAGAACAGGUAGAAAAAAACUAGAGUUUCUCGUUGCAGAACAACUCCCAGCUUUUCUCUACAUCCUUAACAAGGAAAAAGAACUUUACCGAUGCCACCAACUCCCACGAUUGGUAUUCCAAACUCAUACCGCUUUGUCCUCGGAGAUCUUCCAUGAAUCUGUAACUUCGGCGUCGUCCUCCAAACUAGUGACUUGCAACGAUUGAUCACCUAGAGAGAGAUUCUGGCCAAAGAUCUACCAUCUCGUUCCCCGCAGAUGCCUUCAAACAGGCAUGAACACCUGCAUAAUCUGAAAGAAAGAGAAAGGAGUUUCUUCAAGUUUGCAGAGUCAGAUCUUCAGAUCUUGGAUGCAAGAGAGAAGGUUUCUGGGCAUCGAAAGGGCAUCUUUCGCAUUUAUUUUACAGUGUGCCCACUUUGGUGUUUAGUCGGCAUCUAGGGAUGCUUUUCUUUAAGUGGGGAUGUGCAAUCAACACAUGACAGUGAUACCUUUGCUGCCCGUCUUUUUCUAACUUUUUACCCCAC